CAGUUUCUCCCUUUUCCAAUUUAUUUUAAAGUUUUAAAAUUACAAAGACAGCAAAAUUUUCCCGGCACAAGUAACACUUGUUUAAAAAAGGGGGUGGGGGGGGGACGCGCAAGUGCGCGAUUUUUCUAUUUUAUUAAAAAUAAGAGAAAGACAACUGUACAGGUUUUUUCUCCCAGCUCCCGGGUGUGAAACUAAGUACUAGCCCUAGAUAUGUAUAUAUACACAAACACACACAUGCACACAGAUCUAGCUCUGUAAAACUACUUAGCAAAUCCCAAAUCGACUGCAGUAAGUCUUACUAUCCACUGCCCGCCCACUCCCCCUCCCCCUCCCGCAGCUACAACUACUUAUAAUAAAGGACUCAAAAAGAGAUCGGGAGGUUUUAAGUGGCCGCAGCCCCACCAAACCAAGCAAAGACACCUCUUGUACAGGAGGAACAAAAAUCCAGAGGAAAAGAAAAGUCUUCCUAGGACACAAUCCAUCGAUUGCGUGGAAAAACCUAAGUUUCAACAGGGCACACUGAGGCACUUGGCUGACUCCCCACCCUUCCCCUGAAGUUUUCACUCCGGUUUAACAAGAGAAUUUGCUGAAGCCACAAAGAUCCCCCAAUGGCUACAUCCUAGCUGACUGGGAGAAACUAUGGCUUCUCCCAUCCAGCUGUCACUUGGACCCCACUCCCCUUCCCUAAGAAAAUAGGGAGGCCGAAAGCGCAAACUAACAAAAAUGAGAAGGAAACUGGGUUUGGGCCCCCACUGCUCACCACUGGGAGGUGGAAGUCAGCCCGGUGGCGGUUUUUUUCCCCCUCCUUCCUUUGCCGGCUGGCUGCUCCCUACCACCUCUCUCCUGCUGGCCAAAGGUUCUGAAACUCUCACAACGGGUGCCCAACUCAAAGAAAACUCACUCACCCUAAAGAUAUUCCUGCUAACCUCACAAUUCCUGGGUUCCCUCUCAUCUAGCCAGAACAAACUGCCUUGUGUCUUCUCCCCACCCACAUCUACCUUCAUGGCAAACAAGCCAACAAAACACACAAGCCCCCCCCGCAAAUCCCUAACCCCGUAAGUAGGUUAAUAGCAAAACAAAAUAUAAGUACAUUCUCAUCAUUAGAUUGGUUGUUGCUGUCCUUGCACAACUGGUUAAGGAAAAAUGAAUUAUUCUGUAAUUUCUGAAGAAUCCAAAUCCUGUCUCUUAUAAAGUCAGAACAGAAGGGGGCAAAAGGUGGUGGUGAGCAUCAAGAGAGAAAAAAGGAGAAAAUUAUUUACAGAAAAUAGGAGACAGGAGGGAGUGUCCGCAAGAAAAGACUUCAUUGUCACUUCUUCUUGCCGGCCCUCUUGGCACUGGACUUUGCUUUGGGUUUCACUGGUUUGGCCUUUUUGGGCUUGGAUGCCUUGACCGGCUUGGCUUUGACAGUCUUGGGUUUUUUGGCUUUCUUGGGCGUGGCAGCCAGCUUCUUCUUGGCCUUCUUGACCGGGGUGGCUUUGGGUUUCUUGGUUGGGGCUUUGGAGGCAGCCUUCUUGGGCUUGGAUGCCUUCUUUGGCGUGGCUACCUUCUUGAUUUCCUUCUUGGUCUUCUUGAAGGCCACUGACUUCUUGGGUUCGUCGCUCUUGGCUAGCCGGAAGGACCCCGAGGCCCCCACCCCUUUGGUCUGCUUGAGGACACCGGUGGUGACCAGGCGCUUGAUGGACAACUUGAUCUGCGAGUCAGCGUUCUCACCCACCUUGUAGUGGCUCUUGAUAUACUUCUGAAUGGACUGGCGCGAGGAGCCAGCGCGGUUCUUCUCGGCCUGGAUGGCAGCCACGAUCAUGUCUGAAUACUUGGGGUGGCCUGUCUGGUCCGGCUGUUGAAGGCGCCUUCCAAAGGGCCAGCCCUCGUCGGAGGCUGAGCAAAGCCUGCCUCGGGAUCUGCUCCUGAGCCCCUGACUACCGGGCCAGUCUGGAGUGCGGCUCCCGGGGAUGCGAGCGAGGAGUCGCUGCUUUUCCUCCCCGGCUCGGGUGUCGGGAGAGCUCGCCGAGCCGGCUUUGCGAGGCCCAGCCCCGCCGGUCUGUCGCUUGGUCUCGGCACCGGGCUCGGGCUCUGCCUCUGCCUCUGCCUCUGCCUCCGCCUCCUCUGCCUCCCUUUUCCCAGCUCCGCGUCU
Molecule: long non-coding RNA, 2131 nt
Filed under: Homo sapiens (human)
Lineage: Eukaryota; Metazoa; Chordata; Mammalia; Primates; Hominidae
Description: non-protein coding lnc-ANKRD54-1:1
Source: RNAcentral